Danio aesculapii is the source of this 1266-nucleotide long non-coding RNA. RefSeq lists it as uncharacterized. NCBI's taxonomy places the organism in Eukaryota, Metazoa, Chordata, Actinopteri, Cypriniformes, Danionidae. The transcript has 3 exons. The record is from RefSeq and is a predicted model, not a curated record.
GCAUCAUUUUUCUGGAAAGAAUAUUGUUGAUCUGCCUGAAACCAGAAGAUGUUUUUUCUGAUAUCCAUUUGCAGGCCACUGAAAAACAGGUAAUCCAAACCCAGCACAACAGGAAAAGCAAGCAUCUCAGAAGCCAAAACCACCACAGGUAAGUAUAUUGUUGAAGUUUGAACGGUGAUAUGAACUUCUCCCCAUCCUAAAGGUUGUCGGGCUCCUCCAUCAGCUAAAUAAAUUGGACCUUCUGUCCAAGGCUUGAGGUGUUGAAUAUGAUGACCCAUAGUUUCCCAUAGUUUCUCAUUCAGAAGGGUGUAUGAAGAUCCAGUGUCCACCAAACCAUGUCCUUUCCAGGUAUGGAUGGUUACAGGAACCAACAACUGCUGAGGAAGAUAUGAAGAAAAGGGACAAGUAGUUUGGAUUCUGACCAGAACUGUUCUGUGGACAUGAAGCUGGAGGAUGAGUUGUUGACCAAGACGGACAAGACCAUCCACAGUAUUAACACCGUUGCUGCGCAGUUGACUUGCCAUUUGUGGGUUUAUGUUCUUAAGAAUCAGCUUGAUGAUUUCUUCCUCUGUGAUGAGUGGUUUCCAGCGUUUACACAAAGCUCUAUACAUGUAAGCAAAAUCUCUAAUACCUUCACCUUCUUGUUGUACACGUGUUCGCACUCUCUCUGCCAAUUCAUCCUCGUAAUCUUCAGAUAGAAAGGCAGCAAGAAACUUGGAUUCAAAAUCCUGCCAAGUAGUGGUUUCAUGUCUAGCGAAAUCCCACCAGUCUCUAGCUGUUCCAUGAAGCACAUUCCGGAGUGUGGCUAUUAACUCUUCAUCAGAAAGUGGAUGCAGUGACAUGAAAUCAUAACACUUCUCCAAGAAUAUUAGAGGAUCCUCACAAUCUUCAAAGCGUCCAAAACAAGGAAAUUGAAUCUUAAUUGGCUGUUUUCCCAAAAACCUUACUCUUCCUUCCACAGGGGGUGUACCAAAUUCCGUAGCAGAAUGAAAAUCUGAAUCACCCAUUCCAGAUUGUAAAGUGGAAUGAAGCCGCUGUAACCUGGGGUUCACCACUGGAGAAUCUACCACAUUAGAAGAUGGAAAGAGAACUGUUUGCACUGAAGCAUUUGCUUUUGUGGAAAUUUGCUGUGAUGAUUUUAGACUUUUGAUGUCCAGUGUCAAUUGUUGAAGCUUUUGUGUACACUGCUGUACCUCAUUCUGUAAAGUUGAAUUGGAAUUGGACUCCGCAAUAAAGGUAUUCAUUUGUUGUACACAUUGAUCCGUU